RNAcentral lists this ribosomal RNA (300 nucleotides) under uncultured Lactobacillus sp. RNAcentral's name for it is "bacterial SSU rRNA". It matches the Rfam family "Bacterial small subunit ribosomal RNA", at positions 496 to 795 of the family's 1533-position model. Lineage: Bacteria; Bacillati; Bacillota; Bacilli; Lactobacillales; Lactobacillaceae. The record is from RNAcentral.
GCUAACUACGGGCCAGGAGGGCAGGGAAUGCGUAGGUGGCAAGGGUUAUCCGGAGUUAUUGGGCGUAAAGCGAGCGCAGGCGGUUUUUUAAGUCUGAUGUGAAAGCCCUCGGCUUAACCGAGGAAGCGCAUCGGAAACUGGGAAACUUGAGUGCAGAAGAGGACAGUGGAACUCCAUGUGUAGCGGUGAAAUGCGUAGAUAUAUGGAAGAACACCAGUGGCGAAGGCGGCUGUCUGGUCUGUAACUGACGCUGAGGCUCGAAAGCAUGGGUAGCGAACAGGAUUAGAUACCCGAGUAGUC